Molecule: ribosomal RNA, 305 nt
Filed under: uncultured bacterium
Lineage: Bacteria
Description: bacterial SSU rRNA
Rfam family: Bacterial small subunit ribosomal RNA
Source: RNAcentral
GUAAACCUACGGGAGGCAGCAGUGAGGAAUAUUGGUCAAUGGGCGGGAGCCUGAACCAGCCAAGUCGCGUGAGGGAUGACGGCCCUAUGGGUUGUAAACCUCUUUUGCCGGGGAGCAAAGUGCCGCACGUGUGCGGUUUGAAGAGUACCCGGAGAAAAAGCAUCGUCUAACUCCGUGCCAGCAGCCGCGGUAAUACGGAGGAUCCGAGCGUUAUCCGGAUUUAUUGGGUUUAAAGGGAGCGUAGGUGGAUUGUUAAGUCAGUUGCGAAAGUUUGCGGCUCAACCGUAAAAUUGCAGUUGAAACUG